ACACGACGACCCGUUUGUUUUCGCCGUCCCAGCAUCACAACCACCACCACACGACCGUUCGUUCGCCGUCCCAGCAUCACCACCACCACACAACCACGGGAUGGAGGAAGCAAGGCAAGGCAGGUAUGGCGGCUGGAGGAGGAAGAUGACGGCUUCAGAUUCAGGAAGAGGAAGCUGACGGCGAGUUGGUGAGGAGGCGACGAGAUUAGGUCUAGAUGGAUGUGACGUUUGCCUCCUCUCUGCAAUUUGCCUCUCAAAUCCCAGGAUGAAGAAGAAGAAUCAUGGCUGG
Brassica oleracea var. oleracea is the source of this 289-nucleotide long non-coding RNA. RefSeq lists it as uncharacterized. The record is from RefSeq and is a predicted model, not a curated record. Lineage: Eukaryota; Viridiplantae; Streptophyta; Magnoliopsida; Brassicales; Brassicaceae. The transcript is spliced from 2 exons.